UGAAAGUACGUAGCGCAUGCUGAUAAGAAAUAAGAUCGAUCUGUUGUGAAAAAUACAGUCCAUAAUCAUAAUGCUUUGAAGGCCAUCUUUAAAAAAAAGAUUGUACGACACCAUGAAUUUCUAGAGAAAUAUUGUUGGUGUGUACUGGACGUAUUUUUUCCGUACGAUAAGAGACAAACUUUGAUCCAGUGGGCGGAUAAAUAAAAACAAAAACUGUGAUUUCCAACCUUGAACUGAUAUGGU
Molecule: long non-coding RNA, 243 nt
Filed under: Mytilus galloprovincialis (Mediterranean mussel)
Lineage: Eukaryota; Metazoa; Mollusca; Bivalvia; Mytilida; Mytilidae
Source: RNAcentral